This 350-nucleotide ribosomal RNA is filed under the name uncultured bacterium. Its description in RNAcentral is "partial 16S ribosomal RNA". It matches the Rfam family "Bacterial small subunit ribosomal RNA", at positions 338 to 685 of the family's 1533-position model. The record is from RNAcentral.
CCUACGGGAGGCUGCAGUGAGGAAUAUUGGUCAAUGGGCGCGAGCCUGAACCAGCAAAGUAGCGUGAAGGAUGAAUGCCCUACGGGUUGUAAACUUCUUUUAUAAAGGAAUAAAGUGAGGCACGUGUGCCUUUUUGUAUGUACUUUAUGAAUAAGGAUCGGCUAACUCCGUGCCAGCAGCCGCGGUAAUACGGUGGAUACGUGCGUUAUCCGGAUUUAUUGGGUUGAAAGGGAGCGUAGGUGGGUUGUUAAGUCAGUUGUGAAAGUUUGCGGCUCAACCGUAAAAUUGCAAUGGAUACUGGCAGCUAUGAGUACAGUGGAGGUAGGCGGAAUUCGUGGUGUAGCGGUGAA